GGAGUGUAGCUCAGUUGGUAGAAUGCUUGCCUCGCAUGCACAAGGCCCUGGGUUCAAUCCCCAGCAACAUUCA
RNAcentral lists this transfer RNA (73 nucleotides) under Marmota monax (woodchuck). RNAcentral describes it as "tRNA.Ala". The record is from RNAcentral. Lineage: Eukaryota; Metazoa; Chordata; Mammalia; Rodentia; Sciuridae.